UGGGGAAUAUUGCGCAAUGGAGGAAACUCUGACGCAGCAAUACCGCGUGUGUGAAGAAGGCCUGCGGGUUGUAAAGCACUUUCAGUAGGGAGGAAAGGUUGUAAGUUAAUAGCUUAUAACUGUGACGUUACCUACAGAAGAAGCACCGGCUAACUCCGUGCCAGCAGCCGCGGUAAUACGGAGGGUGCAAGCGUUAAUCGGAAUUACUGGGCGUAAAGCGCGCGUAGGUGGAUUAUUAAGUCAGAUGUGAAAGCCCAGGGCUUAACCUUGGAACUGCAUUUGAUACUGGUAAUCUUGAGUACAGUAGAGGGAGGUGGAAUUUCAGGUGUAGCGGUGAAAUGCGUAGAUAUCUGAAGGAACAUCAGUGGCGAAGGCGACCUUCUGGACUGAUACUGACACUGAGGUGCGAAAGCGUGGGGAGCGAACAGGAUUAGAUACCCCCGUAGUCC
This 449-nucleotide ribosomal RNA is filed under the name uncultured prokaryote. RNAcentral describes it as "bacterial SSU rRNA". It matches the Rfam family "Bacterial small subunit ribosomal RNA", at positions 355 to 796 of the family's 1533-position model. The record is from RNAcentral.